CCUACGGGAGGCAGCAGUGAGGAAUAUUGGUCAAUGGACGAGAGUCUGAACCAGCCAAGUAGCGUGAAGGAUGACUGCCCUAUGGGUUGUAAACUUCUUUUAUAUGGGAAUAAAAUGUUCCACGUGUGGGAUUUUGUAUGUACCAUAUGAAUAAGGAUCGGCUAACUCCGUGCCAGCAGCCGCGGUAAUACGGAGGAUCCGAGCGUUAUCCGGAUUUAUUGGGUUUAAAGGGAGCGUAGGUGGAUUGUUAAGUCAGUUGUGAAAGUUUGCGGCUCAACCGUAAAAUUGCAGUUGAAACUGGCAGUCUUGAGUACAGUAGAGGUGGGCGGAAUGCGUGGUGUAGCGGUGAAAUGCUUAGAUAUCACGAAGAACUCCGAUUGCGAAGGCAGUUCACUGGACUGCAACUGACACUGAGGCACGAAAGUGUGGGUAUCAAACAGGAUUAGAUACCCCUGUAGUC
Molecule: ribosomal RNA, 460 nt
Filed under: uncultured bacterium
Lineage: Bacteria
Description: partial 16S ribosomal RNA
Rfam family: Bacterial small subunit ribosomal RNA
Source: RNAcentral